RNAcentral lists this ribosomal RNA (465 nucleotides) under uncultured bacterium. Its description in RNAcentral is "partial 16S ribosomal RNA". It matches the Rfam family "Bacterial small subunit ribosomal RNA", at positions 338 to 795 of the family's 1533-position model. The record is from RNAcentral.
CCUACGGGAGGCAGCAGUGGGGAAUUUUGCGCAAUGCUCGUAAGAGUGACGCAGCGACGCCGCGUGAAUGACGAAGGCCUUCGGGUCGUAAAGUUCUUUCGACAGGGAAGAAAAUGCCUAUAAGUAACUGUGUAUGUAUUGACGGUACCCGUAUAAGCAGCCCCGGCUAACUCCGUGCCAGCAGCCGCGGUAAUACGGAGGGGGCGAGCGUUGUUCGGAGUGACUGGGCGUAAAGAGCACGUAGGCGGGGUUGUAAGUCAUUAGUCAAAGAGUAGUGCUCAACUUUAGUAAGGCUAGUGAUACUAUAAUACUAGAGUAUCAGAGAGGAUUGCAGAAUGCCUGGUGUAGCGGUGAAAUGCGUAGAUAUCAGGAGGAAUACCGUUAGCGAAGGCGACUAUCUGGCACAUAACUGACGCUGAGGAGCGAAAGCGUGGGUAGCAAACAGGAUUAGAUACCCUUGUAGUC